GACGAACGCUGGCGGCGUGCUUAACACAUGCAAGUCGAACGGAAAGGCCCUGCUUUUGUGGGGUGCUCGAGUGGCGAACGGGUGAGUAACACGUGAGUAACCUGCCCUUGACUUUGGGAUAACUUCAGGAAACUGGGGCUAAUACCGGAUAGGAGCUCCUGCUGCAUGGUGGGGGUUGGAAAGUUUCGGCGGUUGGGGAUGGACUCGCGGCUUAUCAGCUUGUUGGUGGGGUAGUGGCUUACCAAGGCUUUGACGGGUAGCCGGCCUGAGAGGGUGACCGGCCACAUUGGGACUGAGAUACGGCCCAGACUCCUACGGGAGGCAGCAGUGGGGAAUAUUGCACAAUGGGCGGAAGCCUGAUGCAGUAACGCCGCGUGCGGGAUGACGGCCUUCGGGUUGUAAACCGCUUUCGCCUGUGACGAAGCGUGAGUGACGGUAAUGGGUAAAGAAGCACCGGCUAACUACAUG
RNAcentral lists this ribosomal RNA (468 nucleotides) under uncultured bacterium. RNAcentral describes it as "partial 16S ribosomal RNA". It matches the Rfam family "Bacterial small subunit ribosomal RNA", at positions 28 to 507 of the family's 1533-position model. The record is from RNAcentral.